This 245-nucleotide ribosomal RNA is filed under the name uncultured bacterium. RNAcentral's name for it is "partial 16S ribosomal RNA". It matches the Rfam family "Bacterial small subunit ribosomal RNA", at positions 796 to 1041 of the family's 1533-position model. The record is from RNAcentral. RNAcentral also lists the same sequence under 1 other name.
CACGCCGUAAACGAUGAUUACUGGGUGUAGGGAGUAUCGACUCUCUCUGUGCCGAAGCAAACGCGAUAAGUAAUCCACCUGGGGAGUACGGCCGCAAGGCUAAAACUCAAAGGAAUUGACGGGGACCCGCACAAGCAGUGGAGUAUGUGGUUUAAUUCGAGGCAACGCGAAGAACCUUACCAGGGAUUGACAUCCUGCGCUAGGCUUGGAGACAGGUUGUUCCUUCGGGACGCAGAGACAGGUGG